AGAGUUUGAUCCUGGCUCAGGAUGAACGCUAGCGGCAGGCUUAACACAUGCAAGUCGAGGGGCAGCAUGUCCAGCAAUGGAUGAUGGCGACCGGCGGAAGGGUGCGUAACGCGUGAGCAGCAUGCCCUAUACAGGGAGAUACACCAGGGAAACUUGGUCUAAUAUCCCAUAGCAUUCGUUGAAGGCAUCUUUAAUGAAUUAAAGCUUCGGUGGUAUAGGAUUGGCUCGCGUAACAUUAGCCAGAUGGUGAGGUAACGGCUCACCAUAGCAAUGAUGUCUAGGGGUUUUGAGAGGAAGGCCCCCCACACUGGGACUGAGACACGGCCCAGACUCCUACGGGAGGCAGCAGUGAGGAAUAUUGGACAAUGGAUGGAAAUCUGAUCCAGCCAUGCCGCGUGCAGGAAGACGGCCUUAUGGGUUGUAAACUGCUUUUAUACGGGAGCAAUAAGGGUUACGAGUAAUCCGAUGAGAGUACUGUAUGAAUAAGGAUCGGCUAACUCCGUGCCAGCAGCCGCGGUAAUACGGAGGAUCCGAGCGUUAUCCGGAAUUAUUGGGUUUAAAGGGUGCGUAGGCGGCCAUUUAAGUCAGCGGUGAAAUUUUGCAGCUUAACUGUAACAGUACCGUUGAUACUGUUUGGCUAGGAUUUGGUUGUAGUGUGCGGAAUGUGUGGUGUAGCGGUGAAAUGCUUAGAUAUCACACAGAACACCGAUUGCGAAGGCAGCACACUAAGUCAUUAUUGACGCUGAGGCACGAAAGUGUGGGGAUCAAACAGGAUUAGAUACCCUGGUAGUCCACACUGUAAACGAUGAUAACUCGCUGUCGGCGAUACACAGUCGGUGGCCAAGCGAAAGCAUUAGUUAUCCACCUGGGGAGUACGACCGCAGGUUGAACUCAAAAGGAAUUGACGGGGGCCCGCACAAGCGGAAGACAUGUGGGUUAAUUCCAUGAAACCCCAGAACCUUACCGGGCUCCAACGGUGCAUGAAUAAACAAAAAAUUUUAUAUCCCUUCGGGACUUGUUUC
This 1022-nucleotide ribosomal RNA is filed under the name uncultured bacterium. Its description in RNAcentral is "bacterial SSU rRNA". It matches the Rfam family "Bacterial small subunit ribosomal RNA", at positions 8 to 1034 of the family's 1533-position model. The record is from RNAcentral.